CCUACGGGAGGCAGCAGUAAGGAAUAUUGGUCAAUGGACGCAAGUCUGAACCAGCCAUGCCGCGUGAAGGAUUAAGGCCCUCUGGGUUGUAAACUUCUUUUAUAGGGGACGAAAAAACGGGCAUUCUUGCUCACUUGACGGUACCCUAGGAAUAAGCACCGGCUAACUCCGUGCCAGCAGCCGCGGUAAUACGGAGGGUGCAAGCGUUAUCCGGAUUUACUGGGUUUAAACGGGUGCGUAGGUGGGUUGGUAAGUCAGUGGUGAAAUCUUCGAGCUUAACUCGGAAACUGCCAUUGAUACUAUCAAUCUUGAAUCAUCUAGAGGUAAGCGGAAUAUGUCAUGUAGCGGUGAAAUGCUUAGAUAUGACAUAGAACACCAAUUGCGAAGGCAGCCUACUAUGGAUGUAUUGACACUGAGGCACGAAAGCGUGGGGGAUCAAACAGGAUUAGAUACCCUGGUAGUCCACGCCCUAAACCGAUGGAUACUCGACAUUUGUGAUAUACUAUAAGUGUUNUGAGNGAAGACAUAAGUAUACCACCUACGGAGUACGACCGCGAGUAGUAACGUACGAAGAAGUAGACGGCGUGAGACGUAGACCGACGGACGACGACGAGGGAGGAGG
This 622-nucleotide ribosomal RNA is filed under the name uncultured bacterium. RNAcentral describes it as "bacterial SSU rRNA". It matches the Rfam family "Bacterial small subunit ribosomal RNA", at positions 338 to 954 of the family's 1533-position model. The record is from RNAcentral.